AACGCACAUUGCGCCCCCUGGCAUUCCGGGGGGCAUGCCUGUUCGAGCGUCAUUAUCAACCCUCAAACGGGGCUCUUUGUCGGGCCCGCGGUUUGACGUUGGCGGCGGUCCGGCGGACCCCUCCCAAAGACAGUGACGGCGUCUGUGGACCCUCGGUGCAACGAGCCCUCACCGGCACGCACGCGAGGCGGUUUGCGGGCGCGGUCUGAUCGGCGGCCGUACGGCCACCACUUUCUCAGGUUGACCUCGGAUCAGGUAGGAAUACCCGCUGAACUUAA
RNAcentral lists this unclassified non-coding RNA (278 nucleotides) under uncultured fungus. RNAcentral's name for it is "partial contains 5.8S ribosomal RNA, internal transcribed spacer 2, and large subunit ribosomal RNA". The record is from RNAcentral. Lineage: Eukaryota; Fungi.